This 581-nucleotide ribosomal RNA is filed under the name Priestia megaterium. RNAcentral describes it as "bacterial SSU rRNA". It matches the Rfam family "Bacterial small subunit ribosomal RNA", at positions 562 to 1141 of the family's 1533-position model. Lineage: Bacteria; Bacillati; Bacillota; Bacilli; Caryophanales; Bacillaceae. The record is from RNAcentral.
UAAGCGCGCGCAGGCGGUUUCUUAAGUCUGAUGUGAAAGCCCACGGCUCAACCGUGGAGGGUCAUUGGAAACUGGGGAACUUGAGUGCAGAAAAGAAAAGCGGAAUUCCACGUGUAGCGGUGAAAUGCGUAGAGAUGUGGAGGAACACCAGUGGCGAAGGCGGUUUUUUGGUCUGUAACUGACGCUGAGGCGCGAAAGCGUGGGGAGCAAACAGGAUUAAAUACCCUGGUAGUCCACGCCGUAAACAAUGAGUGCUAAGUGUUAGAGGGUUUCCGCCCUUUAGUGCUGCAGCUAACGCAUUAAGCACUCCGCCUGGGGAGUACGGCCGCAAGACUGAAACUCAAAGGAAUUGACGGGGGCCCGCACAAGCGGUGGAGCAUGUGGUUUAUUUCGAAGCAACGCGAAGAACCUUACCAGGUCUUGACAUCCUCUGACAACUCUAGAGAUAGAUCGUUCCCCUUCGGGGGACAGAGUGACAGGUGGUGCAUGGUUGUCGUCAGCUCGCGUCGUGAGAUGUUGGGUUACGUCCCGCAACGAGCGCAACCCUUGAUCUUAGUUGCCAGCAUUAAGUUGGGCACUCU